GACCGCGUAUGAAAGUACGUUUCACCUCGGGUGACAGGGAGACGAGGUGGUGCAUGGUUGUCGUCAGCCCGUGUCGUGAGAUGUUGGGUUAAGUCCCGCAACGAGCGCAACCCCUACGUUUAGUUGCUAACGCGUGAAGGCGAGCACUCUAGACGAACUGCCGUUGACAAAACGGAGGAAGGUGGGGAUGACGUCAAAUCAUCAUGCCCCUUAUGUUCUGGGCUACACACGUGCUACAAUGGCCGGUACAGACGGACGCAAAGCCGCGAGGUGGAGCAAAUCCUAAAAAGCCGGUCUCAGUUCGGAUUGCAGGCUGCAAUUCGCCUGCACGAAGUCGGAAUCGCUAGUAAUCGCAGGUCAGCAUACUGCGGUGAAUACGUUCCCGGGCCUU
This 391-nucleotide ribosomal RNA is filed under the name uncultured Pelotomaculum sp. RNAcentral's name for it is "bacterial SSU rRNA". It matches the Rfam family "Bacterial small subunit ribosomal RNA", at positions 993 to 1382 of the family's 1533-position model. The record is from RNAcentral. Lineage: Bacteria; Bacillati; Bacillota; Clostridia; Eubacteriales; Desulfotomaculaceae.